AACGCGAAGAACCUUACCGGGGUUUGACAUGUGCCGGAAAGCCCCAGAGAUGGGGUCCUCCUUCGGGACCGGUGCACAGGUGCUGCAUGGCUGUCGUCAGCUCGUGCCGUGAGGUGUUGGGUUAAGUCCCGCAACGAGCGCAACCCUCGCCGCUAGUUGUAUGUUUCUAGCGGGACUGCUGCGCAAAACGCAGAGGAAGGUGGGGAUGACGUCAAGUCAUCAUGGCCUUUAUGCCCCGGGCUACACACACGCUACAAUGGACGGUACAGACGGUUGCGAAGCCGCGAGGUGAAGCCAAUCCGACAAAGCCGUCCUCAGUACAGAUUGCAGGCUGCAACUCGCCUGCAUGAAGACGGAGUUGCUAGUAACCGCAGGUCAGCACACUGCGGUGAAUACGUUCCCGGGCCUUGUACACACCGCACUACUA
RNAcentral lists this ribosomal RNA (427 nucleotides) under uncultured bacterium. Its description in RNAcentral is "bacterial SSU rRNA". It matches the Rfam family "Bacterial small subunit ribosomal RNA", at positions 958 to 1400 of the family's 1533-position model. The record is from RNAcentral.